UCGCUCCUACUGAUAGAGUGCUCUGGUAAAUAAUUUGGCCACAGCAUUGUGCAUAUCUGGCAAUAACUGUAGAAAAUUUGAUGAGCCUUAUCACUUAGAGGAAGUAA
RNAcentral lists this ribosomal RNA (107 nucleotides) under uncultured eukaryote. Its description in RNAcentral is "partial small subunit ribosomal RNA". The record is from RNAcentral.